GCUUGCUAAGGCUGAUGGCGACCGGCGCACGGGUGAGUAACACGUAUCCAACCUGCCGUCUACUCUUGGCCAGCCUUCUGAAAGGAAGAUUAAUCCAGGAUGGCAUCAUGAGUUCACAUGUCCGCAUGAUUAAAGGUAUUUUCCGGUAGACGAUGGGGAUGCGUUCCAUUAGAUAGUAGGCGGGGUAACGGCCCACCUAGUCAACGAUGGAUAGGGGUUCUGAGAGGAAGGUCCCCCACAUUGGAACUGAGACACGGUCCAAACUCCUACGGGAGGCAGCAGUGAGGAAUAUUGGUCAAUGGGCGAUGGCCUGAACCAGCCAAGUAGCGUGAAGGAUGACUGCCCUAUGGGUUGUAAACUUCUUUUAUAAAGGAAUAAAGUCGGGUAUGCAUACCCGUUUGCAUGUACUUUAUGAAUAGGGAUCGGCUAACUCCGUGCCAGCAGCCGCGGUAAUACGGAGGAUCCGAGCGUUAUCCGGAUUUAUUGGGUUUAAAGGGAGCGUAGAUGGAUGUUUAAGUCAGUUGUGAAAGUUUGCGGCUCAACCGUAAAAUUGCAGCUGAUACUGGAUGUCUUGAGUGCAGUUGAGGCAGGCGGAAUUCGUGGUGUAGCGGUGAAAUGCUUAGAUAUCACGAAGAACUCCGAUUGCGAAGGCA
RNAcentral lists this ribosomal RNA (653 nucleotides) under uncultured Bacteroidales bacterium. Its description in RNAcentral is "bacterial SSU rRNA". It matches the Rfam family "Bacterial small subunit ribosomal RNA", at positions 75 to 723 of the family's 1533-position model. The record is from RNAcentral. Lineage: Bacteria; Pseudomonadati; Bacteroidota; Bacteroidia; Bacteroidales.